AGGAUUAGAUACCCUGGUAGUCCACGCCCUAAACGAUGCCAACUAGGUGUUGGGGAAGGAGACUUCCUUAGUACCGUAGCUAACGCGUGAAGUUGGCCGCCUGGGGAGUACGGUCGCAAGAUUAAAACUCAAAGGAAUUGACGGGGACCCGCACAAGCGGUGGAUGAUGUGGAUUAAUUCGAUGCAACGCGAAAAACCUUACCUACCCUUGACAUGCCUGGAAUCCUGCUGAGAGGCGGGAGUGCUCGAAAGAGAACCGGGACACAGGUGCUGCAUGGCUGUCGUCAGCUCGUGUCGUGAGAUGUUGGGUUAAGUCCCGCAACGAGCGCAACCCUUGUCAUUAGUUGCCAUCAUUUAGUUGGGCACUCUAAUGAGACUGCCGGUGACAAACCGGAGGAAGGUGGGGAUGACGUCAAAUCAUCAUGCCCCUUAUGGCCUGGGCUACAAACGUAAUACAAUGGCGUAUACAAAGGGAAGCGAAAGGGUGACCUGGAGCAAAACUCAUAAAGUACGUCUCAGUUCAGAUUGGAGUCUGCAACUCGACUCCAUGAAGG
This 554-nucleotide ribosomal RNA is filed under the name uncultured bacterium. RNAcentral describes it as "bacterial SSU rRNA". It matches the Rfam family "Bacterial small subunit ribosomal RNA", at positions 774 to 1326 of the family's 1533-position model. The record is from RNAcentral.